GCGGAUAUGGUCAAAUGGUAAAAUNUCU
RNAcentral lists this transfer RNA (28 nucleotides) under Spiranthes himalayensis. RNAcentral describes it as "partial tRNA-Gly". Lineage: Eukaryota; Viridiplantae; Streptophyta; Magnoliopsida; Asparagales; Orchidaceae. The record is from RNAcentral.